CGACAAUACAUGUCUCUUCAGUGAUGCUCGUGGCCAAAAUAUUUGAAAUCCAAAGCUUAUAUAAAAGAUGAAGAGAUAUAAUCCAAAAGGUCCAAAAAGUAUAGCCAAAUCCAUGAAAGGAAUCAGAGCUUUGCAUGAGGGAGAUACAUUCCUUAAUUUUUAAUAAUUUCUAUCAUUUUGUAACAGCAAAUUUUAAUAACAC
Molecule: long non-coding RNA, 202 nt
Filed under: Mytilus galloprovincialis (Mediterranean mussel)
Lineage: Eukaryota; Metazoa; Mollusca; Bivalvia; Mytilida; Mytilidae
Source: RNAcentral